GUGGCUGUGGCAGAACGGCUAUGCAUCGGAUUGUGGUUCCGAACCAUGCGGGUUCAAAUCCCGUCGGUCACA
Molecule: transfer RNA, 72 nt
Filed under: Lachnospiraceae bacterium
Lineage: Bacteria; Bacillati; Bacillota; Clostridia; Lachnospirales; Lachnospiraceae
Description: tRNA-His
Rfam family: tRNA
About the family: Transfer RNA (tRNA) molecules are approximately 80 nucleotides in length. Their secondary structure includes four short double-helical elements and three loops (D, anti-codon, and T loops).
Source: RNAcentral